This 458-nucleotide ribosomal RNA is filed under the name uncultured bacterium. RNAcentral describes it as "bacterial SSU rRNA". It matches the Rfam family "Bacterial small subunit ribosomal RNA", at positions 45 to 522 of the family's 1533-position model. The record is from RNAcentral.
UGGAUUAGGCAUGCAAGUCGAGCGCUCAUAGCAAUAUGGGAGCGGCGAACGGCGUAGUAAGACGUAGGAACGUACCCUCGGGACGGGGAUAGCUAUGGGAAACUGUAGGUAAUACCCGAUAAUCUCUGCGGAGCAAAGGUGUGAUUCCGCCUGAGGAGCGGCUUAUGCGAUAUUAGCUAGUUGGUGGGGUAAUGGCCUACCAAGGCGAUGAUGUCUAGGGGGUGUGAGAGCAUGGCCCCCACGACCGGAACUGAGAUACUGUCCGGACACCUACGGGUGGCUGCAGUCGAGAAUCUUCCGCAAUGGACGAAGGUCUGACGGAGCGACGCCGCGUGCGGGAUGAAGGCCCUUGGGUUGUAAACCGCUGUCAGAGGGGAUGAAAUCUUCGGAGGUACUCCUCCGGAGUUGACAGAGCCUCAAAGGAAGCACGGGCUAAGUACGUGCCAGCAGCCGCGGUA